Molecule: ribosomal RNA, 301 nt
Filed under: uncultured bacterium
Lineage: Bacteria
Description: partial 16S ribosomal RNA
Rfam family: Bacterial small subunit ribosomal RNA
Source: RNAcentral
CAGCAGCCACGGGAAUACGUAGGGUGCGAGCGUUAAUCGGAAUUACUGGGCGUAAAGCGUGCGCAGGCGGUUAUAUAAGACAGUUGUGAAAUCCCCGGGCUCAACCUGGGAACUGCAUCUGUGACUGUAUAGCUAGAGUACGGUAGAGGGGGAUGGAAUUCCGCGCGUAGCAGUGAAAUGCGUAGAUAUGCGGAGGAACACCGAUGGCGAAGGCAAUCCCCUGGACCUGUACUGACGCUCAUGCACGAAAGCGUGGGGAGCAAACAGGAUUAGAUACCCCCGUAGUCCCUGUCUCUUAUAC